GAGUUUGAUCCUGGCUCAGGACGAACGCUGGCGGCGUGCUUAACACAUGCAAGUCGUACGGGGCAGCAAUGCCCAGUGGCGAACGGGUGCGUAACACGUGAGAAAUCUGUCCAUCGGCGGGGGAGUAGCCGGCCCGAACGGCCGGGUAAGUACCGCGUACGUCGGCGGGGGCGGCAUGCUCCUGCCGGGAAAGGACAGCAAUGCACCGAUGGAGGAUCUCGCGGCCUAUCAGCUUGUUGGCGGGGUAAUGGCCCACCAAGGCGACGACGGGUAGCUGGUCUGAGAGGAUGAUCAGCCACAUUGGGACUGAGACACGGCCCAGACUCCUACGGGAGGCAGCAGUGGGGAAUAUUGCGCAAUGGGCGAAAGCCUGACGCAGCGACGCCGCGUGUGGGAUGACGGCCUUCGGUUGUAACC
This 417-nucleotide ribosomal RNA is filed under the name uncultured Actinomycetes bacterium. RNAcentral describes it as "uncultured actinobacterium partial 16S ribosomal RNA". It matches the Rfam family "Bacterial small subunit ribosomal RNA", at positions 9 to 430 of the family's 1533-position model. Lineage: Bacteria; Bacillati; Actinomycetota; Actinomycetes. The record is from RNAcentral.